GCGAGUAUGGCCCUCACGGGUCUAAUCCACCACAAACACCUUGUGAACCAGUCAGGGGGGACUCGGCCGUGAAAGCCCAGGCGAUUAGCGGAAGGGCCCUCCUUUGCGAAACCCGUUUAGAAGUCUUGAAAGUACUUUUGUAUAAUCUAGUA
This 152-nucleotide unclassified non-coding RNA is filed under the name soil metagenome. RNAcentral's name for it is "partial internal transcribed spacer 1". The record is from RNAcentral.